RNAcentral lists this transfer RNA (75 nucleotides) under Loxodonta africana (African savanna elephant). It matches the Rfam family "tRNA". Rfam says of the family: Transfer RNA (tRNA) molecules are approximately 80 nucleotides in length. Lineage: Eukaryota; Metazoa; Chordata; Mammalia; Proboscidea; Elephantidae. The record is from Rfam by way of RNAcentral.
GCAGUGGAGGUUUAGUGGUAGAACUGUAGCCUUUCACGCUGGAGAACCACUCGGGUUCGAUUCCUGGCCAAUGCA